Vidua chalybeata is the source of this 1317-nucleotide long non-coding RNA. RefSeq lists it as uncharacterized. NCBI's taxonomy places the organism in Eukaryota, Metazoa, Chordata, Aves, Passeriformes, Viduidae. The transcript has 6 exons. The record is from RefSeq and is a predicted model, not a curated record.
GCCGCGGGGCGCGGCCCGGUCCGGCCCUGCCGCACGGCCCCCCCUGGAGCCCGGCAGCGGGCGGCCUCCCGCAAGGCGCCGUUCCAGCCGCCGGCCCGGCCCCGAGGCUCCAGCGGGGCUGGCCCUCAUCCCGACACCUCGUAACGCCGAGGUCCCGAAGCCGCCCGCCGGGAAGAAGCUUCUACAACUAAGAAGAACUACCUGUGACAGAAACAAAAAACUGAAUAGUUGUCUGAAUUUGACUUAUCUUCCCAAGAAGAUAAACUCAUUUAAAAAAUAGUGACUCAAAGGGAUCCUGAUGAAUAAAAAGACACAAAGUGAAGGCAAGGCAAUGGAUUGACUUCCACAAGCUUCAUUAGCCAGCAGUGAUUAGGAGAGGACACUCAAGAAUUCCAGACCAAUUUUGAAAACUCUUUCUUUAAAGGUUUCCAGAAAAGUUGUAUUAAGGUGGCUUUUGUUUUCCUGUAGCUCACUGUUGACUGUUCAGAAUGGAUUUCUGGAAAAGAAAAAAAAAAAAAAAUGAAAGCAAGCAAGCAAACAAAACCCCGGCCUUUUUAUUAUUGAUCACUUUAAGGUAUUUGGUUCAGUAUAUUGGAUGGUACUACCAGAAUCUGUAUAUUGGGUCAUCCUACUCGGAUAAUUCUGAUUUAUCAUUCAUUGUGAAGAGGAUGACAUCUCCAUACCUUUUCUGGGGCAGCUGAAAAAGAAGCUAAAAACUUCUGGUGUGCCAGGUUCUUUCUAGAUUACUAAGCAGGAAAAACAAUGAUGAAGGAGGAACUUUUUCCUAAGCAAAACUCCACGGCAGACCCCAGCAGCCAAGGAAACCUUCUGGACCCUGGAACAGAUAAUUUUCUGACUCCCUUCAACCUCAGGUUAUUUCCUGUUCUCCAGCUGUGAUGAUUUCACUCAAUCAUAGUCACUCAGACGCUAUUGCCUACUACAUAUGGGAGAAGCAACAUUUGUCCAGCAGUUCAGAACUGCUUUAGAAAAAAGAAGAGCUGUACUUCUCAGAAGAAUAAAAGAAAAAGAACUAAGCAGAAAGGAGCACUUAUUUUGGCCCACACAUGUAUGUAAUGGUGCGACGGUGACAAAUGGAGUGUGAGCACCACGGUGUCUACAACUUGGGUUUGAAAUAAUAAUCUUAGCAAGAUGUGAACAUGACCACACACAUCAAAAGGAUGUUCCAAGAUGCUGCUUGCCUCUUUCUGUGCAUCCACUUCCCAGCAUGCUAAGCAUAAAAUUCCUUAGAAAGGAAAAUCCUGAAAAAAACAAUGUUGGGGGAGGAUGCAUGUUGGAGGAGUAUACCAGACAUCUGAU